AAUUUUUAUUAAUAUAUUUAGAAAGCUACAAUUGUGGACCCUCCAAGGGAAACAUCUGAGGAAAUCCUGAACUGGAGAAAGCUAGGUCAAUGUAUGUUGUUAAAGUUCUUUAAGUGAAAAGUGAUCCCCUAGGCAGCCAGGAUCCGAAGCCUCAUUCUAACACAGGGUAAAUCCUAUUUCUCCUCACUCUAAUGUGGGGAAGAGGUGAGCAGAUGCAUCAUGUAUGAGAUCUGAAGA
Vicugna pacos (alpaca) is the source of this 237-nucleotide non-coding RNA. NCBI's taxonomy places the organism in Eukaryota, Metazoa, Chordata, Mammalia, Artiodactyla, Camelidae. The record is from RefSeq and is a predicted model, not a curated record.